Ictidomys tridecemlineatus (thirteen-lined ground squirrel) is the source of this 1338-nucleotide non-coding RNA. The record is from RefSeq and is a predicted model, not a curated record. NCBI's taxonomy places the organism in Eukaryota, Metazoa, Chordata, Mammalia, Rodentia, Sciuridae.
CGCGCGCAACGCCCGGGCGUCGGAAAGCGGCGUUCCUGGGCACCGCAGUCUCCCCUUCUCCCUUUACCCCUCCCCUUUACCAUCCCCUUCACCCUUAGAGGCGCCAAGUCUUUGGCCUGCUUCUAAGGUGAACCCAACUCCCCAGAGUGCACCCCAGUCCUUGAGCCCGGCUGGCUUCAGGCUGUAGGGAGUGGGAUCCCGGGCCCCGGGCGGGCGGGAGGGACGGGACGCGGUGCAGUGUUGUUACUUCCCCCGCCAAUAUUGCACUCGUCCCGGCCUCCGGCCCCCUCGGCCCCCCGGCCUCCCCCUCUCCUCAAGCGGGGCAGCCCCCGCCCUCCUGGCUUUCGAUACCGGCCGAUCUGAGAUAGACUGGAGUGUCGCCGCUGCCACCAAGAAAAAUGGGGCACAGAGAAGGAAUGAUGUGCCCAACACUGGCUACAGGUCCUGUCUGUGGUGAGAAGGGAGACGGAGAGAAGUGGCCAUGGUCCCUACCCAUGGCACUGAGGAACUGAGCAGAGGAGAGGUCACUGGGGAGUCUUGAGCCUGCCCUCCAUCCAGACCCCUUGCAGCCAGCCAGAUGUGAAGGUCCAGCAAUAGGAAUGGAAGGGAGAUUAUGGGAAUAGAGGAUGAAGACUGAGCCAUAGAGAGAAGUGAGAAUGGACUAGAAGAAAGAAAAAUAUCCCCUGGAAGACUGUCUCUUGGCCAAGACCCCACCUGUCUUCAUUGGUGUCACAGACAUCUCCCACCAGGUCACUGUCUGCAUCUGUCUGAGAGAGGGGCCUGAUCUCACCAUCUCCUCUUGAUAACUCUGAAGAUGGUGACCCACUUCCCAUCCAAAGGGCUGGGGCUUUCCACUGAUGACCCUUCCCCUCCCCUGUACCUGGGUAGGAUUGCUCAUUUCAGGGCAGCUGUCACAAGCAUCUCCCACCCCAUCCGCAUCCCUGUCUGUCUGUAGCGGGUUAGGUACUUUAGGGCAAUUGUCCAAUCCAUUGGGGAUGCCUAGAAGACAUGGGGGAAAGCACAGAGUUGUUGCUAGAACACGUCUCACUCUUCUAACUUGGUGAACUUCCUGAGCUUGGUCUCCGUUAUGUUGGUCAUCUCCUCUGACCCAGGCCAGCUCCCACAGCAUGCCUCCCAAUUCUCAUAGACCUCCUAGCUUCCCUGACUCAUCCCCUCUAUCCAAAUUCCCAGCCUGCCCCUGAGCCCCAGGCCUGCACCAUCCCCAUCCACAUCGUUGUCACAGGCGUCUCCUUCUCCAUUGCCAUCUGUGUCCUUCUGGUCAUUGUUGGGAACAUUGGGGCAGUUGUCACAGGCAUCACCAAAUGAAUCUGUAUCUGA